Molecule: ribosomal RNA, 433 nt
Filed under: uncultured bacterium
Lineage: Bacteria
Description: partial 16S ribosomal RNA
Rfam family: Bacterial small subunit ribosomal RNA
Source: RNAcentral
AACGAACGCUGGCGGCAUGCCUAACACAUGCAAGUCGAACGAGACCUUCGGGUCUAGUUGCGCACGGGUGCGUAACGCGUGGGAACCUGCCCUUAGGUUCGGAAUAACUCCCCGAAAGGGGUGCUAAUACCGGAUAAUGUCUUCGGACCAAAGAUUUAUCGCCUUUGGAUGGGCCCGCGUUGGAUUAGCUAGUUGGUAGGGUAAAAGCCUACCAAGGCGACGAUCCAUAGCUGGUCUGAGAGGAUGAUCAGCCACACUGGGACUGAGACACGGCCCAGACUCCUACGGGAGGCAGCAGUGGGGAAUAAUGGACAAUGGGCGAAAGCCUGAUCCAGCAAUGCCGCGUGAGUGAUGAAGGCCUUAGGGUUGUAAAGCUCUUUUACCCGGGAUGAUAAUGACAGUACCGGGAGAAUAAGCUCCGGCCAACUCCGUG